UCCAGAGCUAGGAUGGACUCAAUCACUUCUUUUGCUUGAACUUUGGGGAUGAUGAAACCACAAGCUUCGCCCCAAUUGAUAAACGAUUGAUAAGGCAUGACAUUAAGAUGUGUAGAAGGGUCUGAGGGUGAAGGGGCCUCCUUCUUCCUCCGUGAUGCCGGCAAAAGUUUUAUUACGACCACCUUGAUGGAACCUAUGGUCU
RNAcentral lists this long non-coding RNA (202 nucleotides) under Elaeis guineensis (African oil palm). RNAcentral describes it as "long non-coding RNA (EGUI_LNC038377)". Lineage: Eukaryota; Viridiplantae; Streptophyta; Magnoliopsida; Arecales; Arecaceae. The record is from RNAcentral.